This 22-nucleotide microRNA is filed under the name Oreochromis niloticus (Nile tilapia). Its description in RNAcentral is "oni-miR-10635". The record is from miRBase by way of RNAcentral. Lineage: Eukaryota; Metazoa; Chordata; Actinopteri; Cichliformes; Cichlidae.
UGACUCUUUGUCCCCUCCGCGC